Molecule: ribosomal RNA, 162 nt
Filed under: uncultured sulfate-reducing bacterium
Lineage: Bacteria
Description: partial 16S ribosomal RNA
Rfam family: Bacterial small subunit ribosomal RNA
Source: RNAcentral
GAAGCCGGACGCCAGCGACGCCCGCGUGGGGAUGAUGAAGGCCCUCGGGAUCGUAAAAUCCUGUUCAGAUGGGAAGAAAUGCUCUAUGGCUAAUAUCUGUAGAGUUUGACGGUACCAUCAAAGGAAGCACCGGCUAACUCCGUGCCAGCAGCCGCGGUAAUA